RNAcentral lists this transfer RNA (70 nucleotides) under Marmota monax (woodchuck). RNAcentral describes it as "tRNA.Undet". The record is from RNAcentral. Lineage: Eukaryota; Metazoa; Chordata; Mammalia; Rodentia; Sciuridae.
GAUUGUAGCUUAGUGGUAGAGCAUUUACCUAGCCAAGUGUGAGGCACUGGGUUCGAUUCUCAGCACAACA